AUUGAACGCUGGCGGCAUGCCUUACACAUGCAAGUCGAACGGCAGCACGGGUGCUUGCACCUGGUGGCGAGUGGCGAACGGGUGAGUAAUACAUCGGAACGUACCUUAUCGUGGGGGAUAACGCAGCGAAAGCUGUGCUAAUACCGCAUACGCCCUGAGGGGGAAAGCGGGGGAUCGAAAGACCUCGCGCGAUUAGAGCGGCCGAUGCCUGAUUAGCUUGUUGGUGGGGUAAAAGCCCACCAAGGCGACGAUCAGUAGCUGGUCUGAGAGGACGAUCAGCCACACUGGGACUGAGACACGGCCCAGACUCCUACGGGAGGCAGCAGUGGGGAAUUUUGGACAAUGGGGGAACCCUGAUCCAGCAAUGCCGCGUGAGUGAAGAAGGCCUGGUGUAAGCUCUUUGUCUAGGAGAAC
RNAcentral lists this ribosomal RNA (414 nucleotides) under uncultured bacterium. RNAcentral describes it as "bacterial SSU rRNA". It matches the Rfam family "Bacterial small subunit ribosomal RNA", at positions 30 to 450 of the family's 1533-position model. The record is from RNAcentral.